CUCCUCCAGGGUACCUACCCAGUUGUGGCGACCCCGCACGUACUCGUGCAGGCGUUUCUGGAGGUGCUCCGUGCUGAUCCGCAGUUCCAGGUCCGUUUCGCUGUGACGGAUCUGAACGAGAGGUCGAUGGCAGAGGAUGUCGUCAAAGUUGCGGAAUCCUAGAGACGCCUGCUGGUGUGGGCGCGAGCUGACCAGCGCCGUCAGGUUGGAGACAUAGGCGAAGAGGAUGAAAAUACUAAAAAACCACCAAGCAACCGCCAGCGCGCGCCCCGACAACGACUUGGGUGCUUCCCGGUACCCUGGGUAUCAUCAACACGUAGCACGAUCAGACAUCGAGAGGUCGGAAGUUUUGCUAACCUUGGAGACUGAAGGUACUCAAGACGAACAAGAGGCUGCCUCUUAGACCAAAUGAGUAGCGGGCUCUGCGCACGUCCUUGUCCUGGGCCACUCGGGACCAUUCGUAAGGGUCUCUCGAGACAACAUAUGAAGAAGGAGAUGACCAGGGCAUGUACGGAUUUUGUCGUGAAUAGAGAUGUUGUCAUUCCAGAGAUGUUGCAUUUGGAUGAGGGCUGCUGAAAAAAUUGAACUCAAAUAUUUGAAACUUCGAACUGUCUCGAACUUCUCAACUCUGAUGUCCGUCCUGAUGCCAUGAGCCUUGUUAGUCAACAGCUUAGUCUUUUCUGCUUUGAUCUCCCUGCCUUGCGCUGCUGAUACUUUUUCAAGGCGUUUAACAAGAUCAUCAAUAUCUUAUUUUUUACCAGCUAUUCCAACCUUCAUACUCUUCUUGUGCCACGAUUCUUGUAAGGAAGAUGUGAGACAAUGCAGGGGAGAGUACUAAGCCUUAUUGAACUCCAUCUAUUGUUCUUAGCCAUUCACCUACGCCGCCGUUGAAGAAUACUGCACCGGUUGUCUCGUCAUACAGAUGUUCUAUGAAUGAUCGAAUUGUAGUUUCUCUUAGUGCUACACACUUUAGGCUAUCGAUUGCCUUCUUCACGUCUGUAGAUUCCGUUUUGCUGUGAGUACUUUUCAGCUAUUGUACUGAAAUUGAAUAUCUUCUUGGGAAUGCUGCUUGUCAUUCUGCGAUGAUUUUUGUUCUUAUGGGAGGCUGGUCUUUUUAAGAUAAUAUUGAAUGGGUCCAUAAACUACAAAAGUUCGAAGUUCUGCCUUACAAAAGUUUUUAACAUGAUUUGACACAUCGUUGAUAUAAAAAAAAGGAAGGAAGAAAAGAUGACUGGGUUGAAAAAAAGUAAGAAAAGAAGGAAACAUAAAUUAAAAAAAACCCACCUCUUUGUUUACCUAUUAAGUACAAUUUGAAAGCAUUCUUUUAUAUUACAUAUCUACAGAAACAUUACACUAACCACACCCACAGUCUUCAAGUUCAUUUUG
Molecule: long non-coding RNA, 1386 nt
Filed under: Pomacea canaliculata
Lineage: Eukaryota; Metazoa; Mollusca; Gastropoda; Architaenioglossa; Ampullariidae
Description: uncharacterized LOC112572040, transcript variant X1
Source: RNAcentral